UCCUGGUGAAGGUGGAGGCUAGGGCAGUGCCCUCAGCCUGGGGCUCUUGGAGAAGCAGUUUGUCCCUAAGGUACAGAAUUCCAACUCCUAAAGAUCACUCUGCCCUGCCAGUUACUCUUCUUUCACUUCCUUUAGAUGAAUUGAGUAAUUUUAAAAAGUUCACAUACAUCACGCAACCUGAACCUGAAACCCAAAAUGCUCCAAAAUUCGAGAUUUCGAGCACUGACGCUGCUGUCACAUGAAGGGGCCGAGCCCUCCCUUCCCUGCGGUCGGCUGUGAGCGCCACGGUACCCUCGCUCGGGUCGCCUGGGCUCCCAGGACCCUGAGACAGGGAGCAGCGCUGGCCCUUCCUUCCCUAUCCGAGCCCAGCCCACUGAGCGCUGGGCUUGUGCUUGGGACCUUGUCCAGGUCGCCGACAUCGGUGAAGACAGGCAGCGGGGCGCCAAGGACCAGGGCGUCCGGCCCUCUCGGUACGGAACACUGAGCCACCCGCUUGUUCUUCUGCGGGUCCUGCUGCUGCCCGAGACCUUCAGUAAACAGGCGAGGUUUAUGGCCAAGCGAGCCGGGUGCUCUGGCGGUUCUUUCCUUGUCGUGUGCGGUAACUUAGACUAUUUGGCCCACUCAGCUGUGGCAGAGGGUUGCAGUCAAAAUGCAGAUGUGCUGAAAUACGGUAGGAAAUUAGGUUCAGGCUAUGUGUGGGAGAUGUACAUAAAACACUAAUGAAAUCCGUGUUUAGACUCAGCCCCCAUCCCAUGUGCACACACACAAAUAUUCCAAAACACGUGAAAUUGGAAAUUCCUGUAGCCCUAAACUUUUGGGAUAAAAAUCACUUGAUCUGGCUUGCUCACGUGAAUAACUUGCUCUUGCAUUUUCUGAUAGUGUCCUUGCAGUGGCUGUUUUGUUAUCAGGGGUGGAAGGAUCCUUGACAGGUUUCUGGGCUCCUGUGCCUGUGGCCGCGGCCUGUGAGGGUGGAGAGCAGCAUCGAGGUUCACUGAGGUUUAAUUAGGUGCUCGCGAGUGGGCAGCCUUGCCUGGGAGGAAAGGAAACCGGUAAGAGUGGCGAAGGCAUCGGGUUGAAAAUUCAAAACAUUGCACCGGCACGGGGCACCUCUCUCUGGGGCUUCCAGAACAUGACUGGGGCAAUGGAACGGGCACUGGGUCCUGUCAGCAGCUAUGUCUGUCACGCCUGUCCCGUCCCACAACCACUCUGAGGUAACUGGAUGCAAGAGACACAGUCCACAUGCACAGGCCUUCAGCGAGCUCCUGCAGAAAGUUCACUGUAGAUCAUGCUGGGGGACCGGCACACAACAGGUUUGUUUGCAACUUCAGAAUUAGGCUUUAGGACAAAGAUCAGGAGUUGGCCCUGGGCGUUGCCCAGGUUCCAGUGAGUCCAGAGCCCCAGUACCAGUUCCUAGGUUAGUUUCACUUGGCUACCCCGCCCCACAGCGUGGACUUUGGUAAGUUUUCACACAUACACACGCACACACACACACACACACUGCACACCUGGGAGACCAUCCCCAUGAAGAUAAUGAACGUAAUCGUUACUUCCAAAAUACUCUGUUUGCCCUUUCGAUUUCUGUUCUCCUGUUGUCAUCAGCACAGGAAAACAGAACUUUAAAAUAUUUCCUCCUUUCUCGAAAGGAAAGCAGCUUCUACAAACUUCCUCAGGCCCAGGGCAUAAACCGCCAGGCUGUCCUCAACCCGGACAAAUGACAGAACAUGCAGAUUCUGGUGCCCGGACGCAGUUUCACUUCCGCAGAACCCCAGCAGGUGUCCCCCAGGACGGCUGGAGCCGCCUCAGCCUGAGGAGGGACCAGCACCGCCUCUCAGGGUCUGUAAGCAGAGAUCCUCCUGGGCCUCCUUGAGAUGGGGACACCACAGAAGGACAAAGACGCCGUGAAGAGCUCGCUCUGGUGGCCUCCCCACACUGCGUCCUCCAGGGCGAGGUUUUCCUCUUCUUUUCAGCCCGAGCUCACUCUGCAGAGCCAGUUUCUCUCUCUCUUUACUCUGAUUUUUCCAAGUAAAUUUUGCUACUAUUUUUCACUGA
This is a long non-coding RNA of Cavia porcellus (domestic guinea pig), 2049 nucleotides long. RefSeq lists it as uncharacterized. The record is from RefSeq and is a predicted model, not a curated record. The transcript is spliced from 2 exons. Lineage: Eukaryota; Metazoa; Chordata; Mammalia; Rodentia; Caviidae.